RNAcentral lists this ribosomal RNA (442 nucleotides) under uncultured soil bacterium. RNAcentral describes it as "bacterial SSU rRNA". It matches the Rfam family "Bacterial small subunit ribosomal RNA", at positions 26 to 453 of the family's 1533-position model. The record is from RNAcentral.
AGGAUGAACGCUGGCGGCGUGCUUAACACAUGCAAGUCGAACGAUGAAAGCCGGAGCUUGCUCUGGCUGGAUUAGUGGCGAACGGGUGAGUAACACGUGAGUAACCUGCCCCAGACUCUGGGAUAAGCACUGGAAACGGUGUCUAAUACCGGAUACGAGCUUCAGCCGCAUGGCUAGGAGCUGGAAAGAACUUCGGUCUGGGAUGGACUCGCGGCCUAUCAGCUAGUUGGUGAGGUAAAGGCUCACCAAGGCGACGACGGGUAGCCGGCCUGAGAGGGUGACCGGCCACGACUGGACUGAGACACGGCCCAGACUCCUACGGGAGGCAGCAGUGGGGAAAUAUUGCACAAUGGGCGCAAGCCGUGAUGCAGCAACGCCGCGUAGAGGGAACGGAACGGCCUUACGGUUGUUAAACGUACUUUAGUUAAGGGUAAGGAAGAAG